RNAcentral lists this ribosomal RNA (402 nucleotides) under uncultured bacterium. Its description in RNAcentral is "bacterial SSU rRNA". It matches the Rfam family "Bacterial small subunit ribosomal RNA", at positions 501 to 903 of the family's 1533-position model. The record is from RNAcentral.
CUCCGUGCCAGCAGCCGCGGUAAUACGGAGGGGGUUAGCGUUGUUCGGAAUUACUGGGCGUAACUCGCGCGUAGGCGGAUUAGAAAGUUGGGGGUGAAAUCCCGGGGCUCAACCCCGGAACUGCCUCCAAAACUGCUAGUCUAGAGUUCGAGAGAGGUGAGUGGAAUUCCGAGUGUAGAGGUGAAAUUCGUAGAUAUUCGGAGGAACACCAGUGGCGAAGGCGGCUCACUGGCUCGAUACUGACGCUGAGGUGCGAAAGUGUGGGGAGCAAACAGGAUUAGAUACCCUGGUAGUCCACACCGUAAACGAUGAAUGCCAGUCGUCGGGUAGUAUACUAUUCGGUGACACACCUAACGGAUUAAGCAUUCCGCCUGGGGAGUACGGUCGCAAGAUUAAAACUCA